GAGGGUGCGAGCGUUAAUCGGAAUUACUGGGCGUAAAGCGCCCGUAGGCUGUAUGUCAAGUCAAGGGUGAAAUCCCACGGCUCAACCGUGGAACUGCCUUUGAAACUGGCAAACUGGAGUAUGUGAGAGGAUGGCGGAAUUCCUGGUGUAGGAGUGAAAUCCGUAGAUAUCAGGAGGAACAUCAGUGGCGAAGGCGGCCAUCUGGCACAUAACUGACGCUGAGGUGCGAAAGCGUGGGUAGCAA
RNAcentral lists this ribosomal RNA (244 nucleotides) under uncultured bacterium. RNAcentral's name for it is "partial 16S ribosomal RNA". It matches the Rfam family "Bacterial small subunit ribosomal RNA", at positions 528 to 771 of the family's 1533-position model. The record is from RNAcentral.